This 293-nucleotide unclassified non-coding RNA is filed under the name uncultured fungus. RNAcentral describes it as "sequence contains ITS1". The record is from RNAcentral. Lineage: Eukaryota; Fungi.
UUUUCGCUAUUUCAAUAGUAUAUUUCUUCAGACACGGUUUUUAAAGCAAGAUUCUUAUGAUCCUCUGGCGGGGGCACGCUAGCCCCGGGCGAAGGGGACCAGCGGGACCAUUUCUGGCCACGCCCCGCCAAAGCAACUCAAGGUAUGUUCACAAAGGGUGGGAGGUCUGGGGGCCAAAAAAGGCACCCCGGGCUCUCUUUUAAUGAUCCUUCCGCAGGUUCUAAAAGACGUAGUUAGUAUUCGAUUUCCUUUUUAUUUGAGUUUGGAGCCAGUUUACUUACCACCUACGGAAA